GCCGCGAAUUCGCCCUUAGGGUUUGAUUCUGGCUCAGGAUGAACGCUGGCGGCGUGCCUAAUACAUGCAAGUCGAGCGAAUGGAUUAAGAGCUUGCUCUUAUGAAGUUAGCGGCGGACGGGUGAGUAACACGUGGGUAACCUGCCCAUAAGACUGGGAUAACUCCGGGAAACCGGGGCUAAUACCGGAUAACAUUUUGAACCGCAUGGUUCGAAAUUGAAAGGCGACUUCGGCUGUCACUUAUGGAUGGACCCGCGUCGCAUUAGCUAGUUGGUGAGGUAACGGCUCACCAAGGCAACGAUGCGUAGCCGACCUGAGAGGGUGAUCGGCCACACUGGGACUGAGACACGGCCCAGACUCCUACGGGAGGCAGCAGUAGGGAAUCUUCCGCAAUGGACGAAAGUCUGACGGAGCAACGCCGCGUGAGUGAUGAAGGCUUUCGGGUCGUAAAACUCUGUUGUUAGGGAAGAACAAGUGCUAGUUGAAUAAGCUGGCACCUUGACGGUACCUAACCAGAAAGCCACGGCUAACUACGUGCCAGCAGCCGCGGUAAUACNUAGGUGGCAANCGUUAUCCGGAAUUAUUGGGCGUAAGGCGCGCGCA
This 602-nucleotide ribosomal RNA is filed under the name uncultured bacterium. Its description in RNAcentral is "partial 16S ribosomal RNA". It matches the Rfam family "Bacterial small subunit ribosomal RNA", at positions 1 to 573 of the family's 1533-position model. The record is from RNAcentral.